RNAcentral lists this long non-coding RNA (3371 nucleotides) under Homo sapiens (human). RNAcentral's name for it is "HSALNT0180991". The record is from RNAcentral. Lineage: Eukaryota; Metazoa; Chordata; Mammalia; Primates; Hominidae.
CCCUGUCUUUCUCCCCAGAAUCGGGGGAUGGGAGUGUGAUGCUGUACCAAGGCUUGUCUUUUAUAGAGACCAACAUUUGUUCCUAGAAUUUCCUCAUUUCUUCUACGACCCUUCUGGUUCCAAAGAAUUGAACCUGCAACUCUCAGUCCAUGUCAAGCCACCAGGCCACCAGGCACUCUGUGGGACCACCUAGGACCCUGACAAUUUCCAUGGCAAUCUUGGCUGCCCAGGAUUUCUCAGUGGCUCUCAGACUCCACCAGAGCGAGGGACACUCUGUGAGGCAGCUAUGGGCCAGUCUUUGCUGACACAACACCCAGACUUUCACCUCCGAAGUCUGUGUCUCCCAGGGAUCUGAGUUCCCCUCUUAUAUUCAUCAGUUCUGUUUGAGAGUUUAGCAUUUCUUCACCAAGCUUCUUUUUGCAAGGGACCCACAAGUUCUACAGGAAUUUUGUUUCUCUCAGACCCUCUCUUCCUAGCCCAACAGAGAAUCUCAACUAGAUCCCAGAAUGGGAAGGCUUUUCUGACUCAUCAUGCAUUCCUCCAAAUCUAUGGUUUAUGCUUAUGACAGAGGCAGGAGGCAGCCAAGGGUCCCCAGCGAAACCCUGCCUUCAAGCCUAAAACAGCCUGAAGGCUGAAAAACCGGACUUCUGGUCCCGGAUGAAGCCCGCCCCUUCCGGACUGUUUCUUUCUGAAUAACGCCCACCUUUGCACUGGGAGAACGGGGUGGGGCCUCCAGAAGUUCACGCCAUUUGCAGCGGGGAGGAGCCUGUUCCUGUGUGGCGACCUGGGCUUCAAUCUGUGAGGCGGGAAACCUGCUAGCAGGACUCUUGCUUUGUGGUCUCCUGUGAGAAGAACAUACCCCAGGUAGCCUCUUCUUUGAGAAGCACAAGGAAACACGUGGUGGUGGAACUGAACACAACCCACAGCCUGGAGCUAAACCCAACCUAAGCCAGCCAAGCUCUUCCAAGAUCACCCAAACUCAAGUUGACCUGUAGAUCCAUGGGCAAGGAAAGAAAUGCCUGCUGUUUUAAGAUCUCAAGUUUUAGGUUGAUUUGUUAUGCAGCAUUAUUGCAGUAAAAAUGAACUAAUACACUACCUAAUCCCAUUUUUCUAUUCAACAGUUAUUUGUUGGGUAGCUGAUAUGUGCCACACACUUAUAAUACAGGCUUCAGGGAUACCAUGGUUAAUAAAAUAAAGAGGGCAAAAGUAAAUGAACAAGAUAAUUUUGCAUUUUGACAAAUGCUAGGGAUAAGACAAGAUGAGUGAUGUGAUAAAUUGUGGUGGGGCUGUGGAAGAGGGCACAUUUAAUUUGGAUGGUCAGAGAGAGCCUCCUCUGGAAGGAAACAUUUGAAUGAGAUGAAUAACAAGGGCGAGGCUGCUAGAGGAUGAUCCAGCCACAGUGCAUUCCUGCAGAAGAGCCAGGGUGGAGGUCCUACGGUGGAAAUGAGUUUGGCUUAGGAACAGAUUCAAGUAUAUCUCAAAUAACUGAAAACUGUGAAAUUAACAUCAAAAGUAUUUGGAAGGCUAGAAGCUAGGCUGAUAUGUAGAAAUAAAACCCAGCCUCAGGAAGGAGCUGAGCCAGACUCAAAAACAAGGGGGGCAGCAAAGAGUGGUGGAUUCUGGGCUGGCCUUGCUGGCCACUCACUUGUCAGGGUGGGGUGGGUCAGCUGGCUUAAAUGUGCAGCUGGACAGACAGCUGCUGUUUCACUGCAUUGUCUCACUGCAUCUGUCUUCAUUAUCUGCAUCCUAUUUUGUGUUUCUUGGGCCAAUGUUUCCCAUCUCAGCUAGAGAUAUUUUACAUUGUUUUCACUGCAUGCAAAUAAUUUCACAAUUUUCUGUGGAAAGCCUUUGCUCCCUCCUUUCUUGUUUUUUUCCAAUUAUUUUAAUAGAAGUCGUGUGCAUACAUGGUUUAAAGAGUCAAAGAACUCUGUAAGGUUUAUUUUAAAAAACAGCCACUGUUAUGAGCAACACCCCCCUGCUGACAUUUCCCCAUUCCAGAGGCACUUUCAUCUUUUUUACAUGAUUGACAUUUCACCUUCCUGUCUCUAAAUAACAUACUUAAUACUACUUCUUGAUUUGCUAUUUUUAGGUAUUUUGUAUUGAUUUCCCUCAAUUGACUAGGAGGACUUAGCUUUCUUCCUUCUUGCUUCUUUUAUCAAACACCUUUCUAUUCUAUGCUAUCACCGUUCCCUCUUGGUAUAAUGUUAUGAUAAUUUUGCUGAGCUUAAUGUUUCAUUUGUAUUAUUAUGAUCACAUAAAUGCUUUUAAUAGCCAAACCAGAUGGUAAGAUGUAAUGAUAUUUCCUUUCUGUAGUAGGUGGCUUCUAAUAUGGUCCCCAGUGAUCUCUGAUGACUAGUAUUCAAGGCCUUGUGUAUUCCCCUCUCCUUGAGUGUGGACUGGGCUUAUUGACUUGCUUCUAACAAUUAGAAUACAGCGAAAACAAUGGAUGUCACUUCUAAGAUGGGGCUUCAUAAAGACCAGCUAUCAUUUUGGGCACUAUCUUUGGUUUGCUCACUCUUAGUGUGGUAGGUAGAGUUCUAAAGACAUCCCCCCAAAUUCUUACUCCUGGUUAUUCAGUCGAACACUAAUCUCAGUACUGCUAUGAAGGGAUUUUACAGAUGGAACUAAGGUUGUUCAUCAGCUGACCUUGAAAUGGAGGGAUUAUCUUGGAUCAUCCAGAUAGGCCCAAUGUAAUCACAUAUAUCCUUAGAAGCAGAAGAGCAAGGCAGGAGAAUAAGUCAGAAGAAGAAGGCAGGAGCAGGAGACAAGAGGCAGAAAGAGAGGUCAAAGAGAUCAGAAGUGUGAGAAAGCCUCAUUGGCUCAUUGGCUUUGCAGAUGAAGGGGGUUACCAGCCAGGGAAUGUGGGUGACUUCAGAAGCUGGACCCUGGUCAACAGCCAGCACGGACAUGAGGACCUCAGUCUUACAGCCAUGUGGAACUGAAAUCUACCAACCACCUGAAUGAGGCUGGAAGUGGAUUCUCCCCCGGAGCCUCCAGAUCAGAGCCCAGCCUGGCUGACAUUGAUUUCAGCCUUGUGAGAUUCAGAGCAGAGCCUCUGAGCUUACCUGGACUUCUGACCUAUGGAGCUGUGAGAUCAUAAGGGAGUGUUCUUUUAAGCUGCCAAAUUUUGGGGAAUCUGUUAUAGCAUCAGUAGAAAGCAAACACAUGUGGGAAGCCAGCUGUCAAGUUAUGAGCAUACAAAGGAAAUUGGGGAAGUGAUAACGUCAAGCAUUCAUCAUGAUAAGGCUUAUGUUAUUGAAUAAAAUUUUCUGAAAGAAUUACAUGAGCAAGGUCAUUCACUUACCCAACAAGCACUUACUGAGUGCACGCUGGGGACAUGGCCCUGAAUAAGACAGACAACAUUCCCAUUU